CUUUGAUGUACUUGGAAGUGGGCCACUUGUAAGAUUGGUUUGCACAUUGGAGUUAGAUUGAUUCUUGCUUGUAUUAGAUGCAUACUUCUCAAAAAACAUGUACAAGUUUGACUUCACAUGUGCUACUUUUUCAUCAGCAGUACCAACACCAAUUCCUGAAUAGCAACAUCUCAACAUUUACAACUUCAUCAGUGGGUCCAAAACUGCUCCCAUAGCAAGUGUGACACUAUAAUCAUUCCAAUAUUUUUCAAACUUCACAAUCAUUUUCUCACUCAUCCCCCUUAUGACUUCAUCUUCAUCUUUUGCAGUUUGAAGUAGAACACAUUGAAUUUUUUUUGACUUGCAUGAAAUACAAGUUAGACGUUGGGUAUGAUGUACCAGAAAUCAAGUCAGUAAUCUAAAAGAAUGGACACAAGAAAUCACAAAUUCGUUGUGCUCUUGUCCAUUCUUCUUCCGAAAGACAAUUUCGGUAAUUAGAAACAUAUAUUGGAAAAUUACUAAAAGCGUGUUUGUAUUUUAGAGCACUUUCAAGUAAUAUAUAAGUUGAAUUCCAUCUUAUUGGCACAUCGAGUUUUAACUCAAUGGAAGUGUCAAUAAGACCACUCGACUCUAUAGUACAUUUUUUGAAGGCGAUUAUCAUCCUCAACAAGUUUAUUCCUCAAUAUUUCCAGCGAUGUGUCAUUUGAACUAGCAUUAUCCAAGAGUUAGAGAGAAAAUUUUCUUAUCAAUUUUCCACUCUUUCAAAAACUGUAAUAUUGUUGCACACAUUUCAAAGGCAGUAUGAGAAGAAGGCAUGUGGCAGAAGUUGAAAAUUUUACUAUUUAACUUCCAAUCUAACUCAAUAUGGUGAGCUGUCAAACAUAAAUAGCCCUUAGUUGUACAAGUUGUUCACAUAUCAGAAGUUAAGCAUAUCCUAUUAAGAAUACUAGCUAAUGUCUGUCGAAGCUUCUCAUUCUCAUGCUUGUAAACUUUUAAUACAUCAGUCUUUGCAGUAUUUCUACUAAUAUAAGCAUAAUCUGGAUUCAAGUACUUCAACCAAGCUCUAAUCUUUCUGUAGUCAACGAAUUUAAAUGGAAAAUCAUGUUCAAUUAUUGCAGCAACACACAUGUCACGAGAUACCAAUUGAUCUAUAGUGUGAGAGUGAGACUUCAAUUUUUCUUGUCUAUCUAUCAUCAUUUGACCCACAUCUUCAAACUUAGUUUUUGAACAAUCAUCUAAGUGAUGAGUCAUAGAAUGUGUCCCAUAUUUAUUCCCACCAGCUUUGUACUAUGCAUUACAAGCAUUGCACUCAACCCUCUUAACCCCAUUAGGCAACUCUUUUAAAAUUGUGAAGAAAUUCCAACAUAUAGCUCUUGUUGCUCUUGGCCUUUUUUUAGUUGUACUAGAAUUAGAAGAAGGGUGCACAUCAUUAUCAAUAACAUUCACAUCACUAGGGUCACUUGUUUGAGUUGUUCCAGGCACACCAAUAUCUACUACAAUAAGUCAAUAAUUGCUACCACAUGAACAACCAAGUUGUAACAGUUAGAUUAACUAGAUAUAUAAGCAAUAAUUUUAAAGGGAAUGGAGUAUCUCCUGGUAUAAGGAGAUAAGUUAUCUCCUCCUGCUAGUGAAAUCAUGACAUGUGUCAUGUUUCAUCAUUUUCUAUAAAAAUAUUUUUAAAAAUAAACAAAAUAGCACACAUGUCACAUUUUUACUGGCUAGAGGAGAUAAGUUAUCUCCUGAUAUAAGGAGAUACAUUAUUCUCUAAUUUUAAAACCAUACUCUUUUAAAAUGACACCACAUCAUUUUUUAAACACAAUCACUUCGAUGAUUUUGAUAUAUUGUACCUGGCUUCAUGUUAAAUACAGUUCAUAAUCUUUUUUGUUUUGUUCUCCUUAUGUCACCGAUGUAAAGUUAAAAAAUAUAACAUUAUUUUGCUAGAUUGUCAUGCAACAUAAUUUAAGCUCAUCUAACACUUAAAUUUUGUGUUCAUACUGAUUUUUUAAGCCCAUGUUUCCUAUUUUCUAAUACCUUCCUAAUUUGCAUUGACAAAGCUAAUCUUUACUAUAACUUACAUAUUAGUGGCCACUAUGACAUUUAAGUUUUAGCCACAUGAUUUUAGAGAUGUCAGCUUGUUAUAGUAAAAGCAACAUACAACAAAAGUGGUUUGAUGUUUCCUAUUAUCUUAAUAGAAGAAACAAAAGAGGGAAAAGAAAAAUUAGACCAAUCUUCCAUUCACCUUUAUUACAUAAAUGAAAAUCAUGCACAAGAAAAAAGUCAAGCUUCUGUUUGUACUAAUGGACACAAUAGAGAACACUUCAGUUCCUAUUUUCUUAUACACAUGUAAUAGUAUGUAAUAUUUUAUUUUAAACUUCAUCGAUCAACUAAGCAUAAAUUGAAGAAUAUAUUGGGGAAAUUGAAGAAAAAACAUUAAUUUAGGGGGAAUUAAAUUAGGGUAAAAUUGAUUUGGGAAAAACUAAAUUAUGGAAAUUGAAUUGGGGAAAAUCAAACCUGCAUCCACUUGUCGUGAUCGUUGUCUUCGUUGGAUGAGAUCACAAUCGCCAUCAUUGUGGGUAGUUGAUGGUUUAUCCUCGUUGUGGCUGUGAGAUCUGGUUGUCAUGGUGGAGAAUGAGAGUUGGAGGAAGAAGAAGUAAAAACAAAUAUGGAAAGUGUUGAGCUGAGAAUUGAUGAGUGUUGAAUGUUAAAGCUUCAAGCAUUGAAGAAUGAAGAUGGAAGUGAAAUAUGAAUGGAAGUGGAAAUGAAAUAGAGAAUGAAUGGAAUUGGGUAAAUGAAGAUUGAAGAGUGAAGACGUAAC
RNAcentral lists this long non-coding RNA (2794 nucleotides) under Lupinus angustifolius (narrow-leaved blue lupine). Its description in RNAcentral is "long non-coding RNA (LANG_LNC000276)". The record is from RNAcentral. Lineage: Eukaryota; Viridiplantae; Streptophyta; Magnoliopsida; Fabales; Fabaceae.